This 4655-nucleotide long non-coding RNA is filed under the name Ovis aries (sheep). RNAcentral describes it as "lncRNA (ENSOARG00000025661.1)". The record is from RNAcentral. Lineage: Eukaryota; Metazoa; Chordata; Mammalia; Artiodactyla; Bovidae.
AGUCUGAAGACUGAGCAAAUAAUUUUCACUUCAGUUUCAGUUUAUAAACCAUGAAAUAUAAGAAAGGGAAGCAGCUCAUAUGUGGCAAAGAAAGACACAGGUCGCAGGCAGCUGGCAGGUGUCCUGUGUGUCAACAAGCUGCGCGAGGUGGACGAAUCAGCAGAGAGACAGAAGAGCAGGAGAGCAGGUCAGAGAGUCCUUGGAAGGUGGGGCGUGGCCGGGGACAGGUCCUCCCGCUUCAUAUUUGGCCACGCCUGCGUAGUCAUCCCUCUUGGUUAUGGAGCCUCUGAAGCACUGGCAUGGGGCCAGAGUGGAGAUGGGUUUUGGGGGCUUCCUGACCGGUAUCCUGGGCGCCAAAGGUCUGUUGGGCUUGCGUCAAGGCAGGCAGCAGCACUCAGAGACAGUGGUGCAGAGGUGCCUCUGCCAGAAACAGUUUAUUUCCAUCAACCAGAUUUCCAUUUUGGUGCAAGUUCUACAGGUGUUUGGAAGAACAGCUUACGACCACUCUGUGGUGGUUCCUACCCAUUCCGUGGCCUCGGGCAGUGGGGGCUGCAGACCAGUCUUCAGUGGAAGGCUGAGCACUCCAGUCUUCAGUAGGGAACUGCUGAAUGGGCAUGGAAGGCACCUGCACGCCUUCGGACCAGUCUGCCACCUCAAGCUGGGCAGCCGUGAACUCUGGAGCUGGAGUGGUUCAGUCUCCCUGAAACUCCUCCUUGGUCACAGCCUUCUCAGCUGCUGCCUGCUCUUCCUUUUCAAUCUCCUCAGGAUCUCUGUAGAAGUAGAGGUCCGGCAUGACCUCCCACGGGUGUUCUCGGGAGAUGGUGCCACGCAUGCGCAGGAUUUCCCGGGCGAGCAGCCACCACAUCAGACCCACUGAGUGCGCUCCAACUGCAUGAGAAUAUUUCAGAAUUCACCGAAGAUUUUGUCAUGUAAAUUAUUUUUAGUUACAUUCUUUGAAAUGUAACUUUGAAGAAUAAGAUUCCCAUCAAGUGAAUGAAAAACUUAAGAAUUCUUGAAGUGUAUUACUUUUUAAUGUGAAGUGAUGAUAAACAACAAAGUUAUGGUAUUUAUUUAUCUUUAGGAAAAACUGCGUGAGAUAUUUUUAAAGAAAUACAUAAUAAUAUCAUGCAUAUGUGAAGGGGAAAAAGUAUGAAAGUACUGAAGUAAUUCCAAAAGUUAGCAUAAAAUUUCCAUCUUGUUUUUCAUUUUAGUGAAUUCAGAGUUUAUGAUUUGCAUAAUAAUCUCUCAAGCUGCUUUUCUGAGGUUAGAACACCAAAUCAGCAAGUUUACUGCUAUUGUGCUUUUAUCAUUAGGUGAUCUUCUAGAGUUAAUCUAAGAUAAAUUUAUUUAAAUAAAUUAUUGUUGUAAUGCAUUAUUUAUUUUUAUUAUGAAGUUUACUGUUUCCCCAAAAAUAGUAAUGGGAAAACAUUAUUAAAAUAAUAUAUAUGUAGGCUGCAGUCCACAGGGUCGCUAAGGGUCGGACAGGACUGAGCGACUUCACUUUCACUUUUCACUUUCAUGCAUUGGAGAAGGAAAUGGCAACCCACUCCAAUGUUCUUGCCUGGAUAAUCCCAGGGACUGGGGAGCCUGGUGGGCUGCCGUCUAUGGGGUCGCACAGAGUCGGACACGACUGAAGUGACUUAGUAUGUUUUGAAGGUCAGGUCGGUAUAUGAAUUGAACCAUAAAAUAACCUGUAAUAAUUACAGCUACCUUUUGAACAUGAUCUGUAUUAUUGCCAGAGUAUAAAAAUAAUUUGAAAUCACGGUAUAUUAGCAAUUAAAGAGCAAUGUUAUACCUGAAUGGCCCUGAUUAAGUGAUAUAGAAAAAUUAAACUCCACCAUAAUUUUACACUUUAUUGUAUAUAGAACCACUGAUUAAAAUAUCAUUGCAAUCUUCUUAGAUAAUUACAGGAGAGGUAGGAGAUUUUCAGGUACAAAAUGAUUUUCCCUUGAAUUCUGGAAUGUAGAACGAAACCAUUUAAAAACAAAAGCUGACCACAUAUUCUUAGGUUACAUAAAAUUCAAAAAUCCUUAUCUGUGUUAAUGGGGAAAGGUCUUUAAUAAGUUAUUUUACAUUUCAAAGUAACAAGACUAAUACAUGCUAUUUUAUUAGCUGGUAGCUAAGACUUAUCUAAAUAUAAUCAAUGCGUGUUUAUAAUGGUGGAAUUUUUCAUGAAAAUGGAACAAAUUUCUUAUGAUUUCACUGAGUUUGAUGACCUGUCUAAAUCUUAGACACCAGCAAAUGUAGUCCAUUUAAAAUGAUACUGAAAAUUAUGAAGUUAGAUCACUUUUGUUUCAAAAUUUUAAGAAUAUCCAAGAUAAAGAAUAUAGCCAAAUUAGGUUGUGAAUUUUUGUUACUAUCAAGAAAUACGAAGUAUUAUUUUACUUUUUCUUUAUUCAUUCGUUGGUGAAUACUUAGGUUAUUUCCAUAUCAUCGGAUAUGAACUUGGGUGUAUAGAUGUCUCUUGAUAUCCUUGUUUUCAUUUUUUGGGGUAUAUACUCAGAAGUAGAAUUGCUGGAUCACAUGUUCUAUUUUUAAAAUUUUGAGAGAUAUCCACAUUGUUUUCCAUAGUGACUGCACUAAUUUACAUACCAAACAACAGUGCAUGUUAACUUCUUUUCCUGCACAUCCCCCACAACACUUGUUAUCCCUCUUCUUUUCUAUGAUAGUCAUUGAAACAAUAUAAGGGAAUAACUCACCGUGGUUCUGAUUUCCAUUUCUCUGAUAAUGAGUGGUACUGAGCAUCUUUUCAGGUACCUAUUGGCCAUUUGUAUGUCUUCAUCAAUAAAUGUCUAUUCAGUUCCUCUGCCUAUUUUUCAAUCAGCUUGUCUUCCUUUUGAUAGUAUGAAUACCUUAGUUAUUUUGGAAGUUAACCGUUUAUCAUAAAUGUGAUUUGUAAAUAUUUUUCUCUUAUUCCAUAAGUUGUCUUUUCACUUUUGAUGGUUUCCUUUACUGUGCAGAAUGUUUUUAGUUUGAUGUAGACCCACUAUAUCUAAAAAAAGCUGAAUCACAUAUUCUUAGGUUACAUGACGUUCAAAAAACCUUGUCUGUGUUAAUGGGGAAAGGUCUGUAACAGGUUAUUUUACAGCUCAAAUUAGCAAAACUAAUAUAUGUUAUUUUAUUAGCUGGUAGAUAAAAACUUUUCUAAGUAUAGUUAAAUUUUUUAAAAGGGGUCAAAGUAGACAUCCUUGCUUUUCUUGACUUUUCUUUUGGUUUUAAAUCCAAAAUACCAUUGUUAAGACCAAUGUCAAGGUGUUUAGCCCUUAUUUUUCUUCUAGGAGUCUUAUGGAAAUUCUACCAAUUGGGUUAGUACUAGGGUAUGUAUUUAUCGAAAAAGAACCCACAUUAAGUGGAUCUUUGCAUUUCAAACUCAUGUUGUUCAAAGGUCAGCUGUAUUUUCAUUUGUGUCUUUUUCAAUUUCUUUUAUUAAUGCCAUAUUAAUAGUUUUCAGUGCACAGAUCCUUCAUCUCCUGGUUACAUUUAUUCCUAGAUAGUUUAUUCUAUUUGAUGCAAUAAUAAAUUAAUCUCUUUUUCUAAUAUGUUAUUGUUUGCGUAUAGACUUCAACUGGUUUUGUAUAUUAAUAUGAUAGCCUGAAAAUUUACUAAAUUUAUUAGUUCUAGCCCUCUUUUGGUGGAGAUUUUAGGAUUUCUAUAUAUAAUAUUAUACCAUCAGCAAAUAAAGACAGUUUUAAUUUUUCUUCUCAAUUUGAAGAUUGAUUUCUUGGGGGGGGCGUCUUUUUCUUAUCUAAUUGCUUUGACUAACAAAUACUAUGUUCAGUAAAAAAGCAGAGAGUAGACAUCCUUGUCAGGUUCCUGAUCUUAGAGAAAAAACUUUUCAGUUUUUCACUGUUGAGUAUGAUGUUAGCUGUGCCUGGGUCAUAUAUUGAGUUAUGUUCCAUCAAUUCCCAAUUUGUUAAGUUUCUAUCAUGAAAGACUGAUGAAUUUUGUCAGAUGCUUUUUCUGCAUCUGUUGAGAUACUCAUAGGCUUUUUAUCCUUCUAUUUUGUUAGUGUGGUAUAUCAUUUUGAUUAAUUGCAGAUGUUGAACCAUCCUUGCAUUGCUGGUAUAAAUCCCACUUGAUAAUGGUAUUUGAUUCUUUUAAUGUAUUGUUGAGUUUGAUAUGCUAGUAUUUUGCUGAGGAUUUUUGUAUCUAUAUUUAUCAGAUACAAUAGCCUGUAAUUUUCUUUCCUUGUUGUUCCCUUGCCUCAUUUUGGUAUCAGAGUAAUGCUAGCCUCAUAAAAUGAACUUUGGAGUCUUUCCUUCUCUUUUGUUUUUAGCAGUGUUUGAGAAUGUUUGGUGUUGAUUUUUCUUUAAAUAUUUGGUAGAACUCAUCAGCAAAGCCAUAUAAUCCUGAACUUUUCAUUUGGGGGAAAUUUCUGAUUGCUGAUUCAGUCUCCUUAUAGGUAAUUGGUGUUCAGAUCUUCCUAUUCUUAAUGAUUAAUUCUUUGUAAAUCAUCUGUUUCUAGAUAUUUAUUCAUUUUUUAUAGGUUGUAUAAUUUGUCAGUACAUAGUUGUUCAUAACAAUCAGUGUUCUUUUGUAUUUCUGUGAUAUCAGUUGUAAUGUCUCCCUUUUCAUUUUAAGGAGAUUGAUGCAUAAAAUUAUUUUGUCUUCAGUUAUAUGCAAUAUGAAUGAUAUCCAUCUCUCCUUUCACUUGU